AUUGAACGCUGGCGGCAGGCCUAACACAUGCAAGUCGAGCGGAGCGGGGGACGGGUGCGUAAUGACUAGGAAUCUGCCUGGUAGUGGUGGAUAAGGUCCAGAAACGGGCGCUGAUACAGAAUCCUAUCCGCUGAACAUAGGCCGGAUUAGGUAGUUGGUGGGGUAAAGGCCUACCAAGGCGACGAUCCGUAACUGGUCUGAGAGGAUGAUCAGUCACACUGGAACUGAGACACGGUCCAGACUCCUACGGGAGGCAGCAGUGGGGAAUAUUGGACAAUGGGCGCAAGCCUGAUCCAGCCAUGCCGCGUGUGUGAAGAAGGUCUUCGGAUUGUAAAGCACUUUAAGUUGGGAGGCGUUACCAACAGAAUAAGCACCGGCUAACUUCGUGCCAGCAGCCGCGGUAAUAC
RNAcentral lists this ribosomal RNA (407 nucleotides) under uncultured bacterium. RNAcentral's name for it is "partial 16S ribosomal RNA". It matches the Rfam family "Bacterial small subunit ribosomal RNA", at positions 30 to 526 of the family's 1533-position model. The record is from RNAcentral.